Molecule: ribosomal RNA, 390 nt
Filed under: uncultured bacterium
Lineage: Bacteria
Description: bacterial SSU rRNA
Rfam family: Bacterial small subunit ribosomal RNA
Source: RNAcentral
GACGAACGCUGGCGGCGUGCUUAACACAUGCAAGUCGAGCGGUAAGGCCCUUUCGGGGGUACGACGAGCGGCGAACGGGUGAGUAACACGUGGGUGACCUGCCCUCAGCUCUGGGAUAAGCCCGGGAAACUGGGUCUAAUACCGGAUAUGACUCCAUGACGCAUGUUGUGGGGUGGAAAGCCUUGUGCGGCUGAGGAUGGGCCCGCGGCUAUCAGCUUGUUGGUGGGUGAUGGCCACCAAGGCGACGACGGGUAGCCGGCCUGAGAGGGCGACCGGCCACACUGGGACUGAGAUACGGCCCACGACUCCUACGGGAGGCAGCAGUGGGGAAUCUUGCGCAAUGGGCGAAAGCCUGACGCAGCGACGCCGCGUGAGGGAUGACGGCCUCGG